UACCGAACAUGAACAGGGCCCGGAAGC
RNAcentral lists this non-coding RNA (27 nucleotides) under Rattus norvegicus (Norway rat). Lineage: Eukaryota; Metazoa; Chordata; Mammalia; Rodentia; Muridae. The record is from RNAcentral.